AUUUCGGAGGUUGUGACCUUGAGGAGUGGCUUCCGGAACUCACGCGAUAAGUCCCCCGCCUGGGGAGUACGGCUGCUAGGUUAAAACUCAAAUGAAUUGACGGGGGCCCGCACAAGCGGUGGAGCAUGUGGUUUAAUUCGAUGCAACGCGAAGAUCCUUACCUGCUCUUGACAUCCAGAGAACUUAGCAGAGAUGCUUUGGUGCCUUCGGGAACUCUGAGACAGGUGCUGCAUGGCUGUCGUCAGCUCGUGUUGUGAAAUGUUGGGUUAAGUCCCGCAACGAGCGCAACCCUUAUCCUUUGUUUCCAGCGGUUAGGCCGGGAACUCAAAGGAGACUGCCAGUGAUAAACUGGAGGAAGGUGGGGAUGACGUCAAGUCAUCAUGGCCCUUACGAGUAGGGCUACACACGUGCUACAAUGGCAUAUACAAAGAGAAGCGACCUCGCGAGAGCAAGCGGACCUCAUAAAGUAUGUCGUAGUCCGGAUUGGAGUCUGCAACUCGACUCCAUGAAGUCGGAAUCGCUAGUAAUCGUGGAUCAGAAUGCCACGGUGAAUACGUUCCCGGGCCUUGUACACACCGCCCGUCACACCAUGGGAGUGGGUUGCAAAAGAAGUAGGUAGCUUAACCUUCGGAG
This 633-nucleotide ribosomal RNA is filed under the name Citrobacter sp. HM-3. RNAcentral describes it as "bacterial SSU rRNA". It matches the Rfam family "Bacterial small subunit ribosomal RNA", at positions 815 to 1448 of the family's 1533-position model. The record is from RNAcentral. Lineage: Bacteria; Pseudomonadati; Pseudomonadota; Gammaproteobacteria; Enterobacterales; Enterobacteriaceae.